AGGGGUGUAGCUCAGCUGGUAGAGCACCGGUCUCCAAAACCGGUUGUCGGGGGUUCGAACCCCUCCGCCCCUGCCA
RNAcentral lists this transfer RNA (76 nucleotides) under Alphaproteobacteria bacterium. RNAcentral describes it as "tRNA-Trp". It matches the Rfam family "tRNA". Rfam says of the family: Transfer RNA (tRNA) molecules are approximately 80 nucleotides in length. The record is from RNAcentral. Lineage: Bacteria; Pseudomonadati; Pseudomonadota; Alphaproteobacteria. RNAcentral also lists the same sequence under 1 other name.